Molecule: ribosomal RNA, 491 nt
Filed under: uncultured bacterium
Lineage: Bacteria
Description: partial 16S ribosomal RNA
Rfam family: Bacterial small subunit ribosomal RNA
Source: RNAcentral
AGUGAACGCUGGCGGUAGGCCUAACACAUGCAAGUCGAACGGCAGCACAGUAAGAGCUUGCUCUUACGGGUGGCGAGUGGCGGACGGGUGAGGAAUACAUCGGAAUCUACUUUUUCGUGGGGGAUAACGCAGGGAAACUUACGCUAAUACCGCAUACGACCUACGGGUGAAAGCAGGGGAUCUUCGGACCUUGCGCGAUUGAAUGAGCCGAUGUCGGAUUAGCUAGUUGGCGGGGUAAAGGCCCACCAAGGCGACGAUCCGUAGCUGGUCUGAGAGGAUGAUCAGCCACACUGGAACUGAGACACGGUCCAGACUCCUACGGGAGGCAGCAGUGGGGAAUAUUGGACAAUGGGCGCAAGCCUGAUCCAGCCAUACCGCGUGGGUGAAGAAGGCCUUCGGGUUGUAAAGCCCUUUUGUUGGGAAAGAAAGGCAGCAGGUUAAUACCCCGCUGUUCUGACGGUACCCAAAGAAUAAGCACCGGCUAACUUCGU